Molecule: ribosomal RNA, 468 nt
Filed under: uncultured bacterium
Lineage: Bacteria
Description: partial 16S ribosomal RNA
Rfam family: Bacterial small subunit ribosomal RNA
Source: RNAcentral
GACGAACGCUGGCGGCGUGCUUAACACAUGCAAGUCGAACGGAAGGGCCCUGCUUUUGUGGGGUGCUCGAGUGGCGAACGGGUGAGUAACACGUGAGUAACCUGCCCUUGACUUUGGGAUAACUUCAGGAAACUGGGGCUAAUACCGGAUAGGAGCUCCUGCUGCAUGGUGGGGGUUGGAAAGUUUCGGCGGUUGGGGAUGGACUCGCGGCUUAUCAGCUUGUUGGUGGGGUAGUGGCUUACCAAGGCUUUGACGGGUAGCCGGCCUGAGAGGGUGACCGGCCACAUUGGGACUGAGAUACGGCCCAGACUCCUACGGGAGGCAGCAGUGGGGAAUAUUGCGCAAUGGGCGGAAGCCUGAUGCAGCAACGCCGCGUGCGGGAUGACGGCCUUCGGGUUGUAAACCGCUUUCGCCUGUGACGAAGCGUGAGUGACGGUAAUGGGUAAAGAAGCACCGGCUAACUACGUG